UUUUGGACAAUGGGCGCAAGCCUGAUCCAGCAAUGCCGCGUGAGUGAAGAAGGCCUUCGGGUUGUAAGGCUCUUUUGUCAGGGAAGAAACGGUGAGCUCUAAUACAGUUUGCUAAUGACGGUACCUGAAGAAUAAGCACCGGCUAACUACGUGCCAGCAGCCGCGGUAAUACGUAGGGUGCAAGCGUUAAUCGGAAUUACUGGGCGUAAAGCGUGCGCAGGCGGUUAUGUAAGUCAGAUGUGAAAUCCCCGGGCUCAACCUGGGAAUGGCAUUUGAAACUGCAUGGCUAGAGUGUGUCAGAGGGGGGUAGAAUUCCACGUGUAGCAGUGAAAUGGGUAGAGAUGUGGAGGAAUACCGAUGGCGAAGGCAGCCCCCGGGGAUAACACUACGUCAUCACGGA
Molecule: ribosomal RNA, 400 nt
Filed under: uncultured bacterium
Lineage: Bacteria
Description: bacterial SSU rRNA
Rfam family: Bacterial small subunit ribosomal RNA
Source: RNAcentral